UCCUGACCUCGGGUGAUCCGCCCUCCUCUGCCUCCCAAAGUGCUGGGAUUACAGGCGUGAACCACCAUGCCUGGCCUUAAAUUACUUUUUUUCAUACUAAAUCUUCGAUAUCUAGUGUGUAUUUUCUAUUUACAUCUCUAUUCAGUCGAGCCACAUUUCAAGUCUGUGAUAGAUCCAUGUGCCUGGUAGCUACCACAGUGAAUGGCACAUCUCUGUAGAACCCCAGAGUGGAGCUCUUGUUCCAGAAUGCUCAGAUCAUGAAGGAUAGUGGGCAGAACCGACUGUGGUAUAGGGUGAAUUUCACUUAGGGGUGUUCAGAACUGGGCCCUACGCCUGUGGUUCUAAACCAAAGAGCCGUAGUUACUGGUUAGAAUGUUCUAGGGCCACCGGCAGAGCUGUCUGGCUCUGGGUAGCUCAGGGAAUUCUAGAACCAUGGGAGUAAAGCUUUUUUUUUUUUCUCCUUUUUGUUUUUGGAGACGGAAUCUUGCUCUGUCGCCCAGGCUGGUGUGCAGCGGCGCGAUCUCCCUCGGCUCACUGCAACCUCCACCUCCUGGGUUCAAGUGGUUCUCCCGCCUCAGCUUUCAAGUAGCUGGGAUUACAGGCACGCGCCACCACGCCCAGCUAAUUUUUGUAUUUUUAGUAGAGACGGGGUUUGGCCAUGUUGGCCAGGCUGGGAUUACAGACGUGAGCCACCGCACCCAGCCAGAAGUAAAGCUUUAUGUAGUUCUGGGCUGGGUUGGGAGUAUUCUAGAACUGUUCUAGAAUUCUCCUGGAACAGAAUUGUUUGUUCCUUGACUGGUCAGGUAAUUCUUAGAAUCCCUGGUGUAGCCAAAGGUGUGAACUACUGAAGGAGAUUCUAGAACCACAGGAAGAGCUGCCUGAUGUGAUUGUGAUGAAGAUGUUCUGGAAUCAUGGAGCAGAGAAGUCUGAUUCUAGAGUGAUAAUAAGUUUCUAAAACUCCUGACAGAAUUGUUAUGAGAUCUGUCAGAGAGUUCUGGAAUCAAAGGUCAGAACCAACUGGGGUUCUGGACAGUAUGGGAAUUUUAGACAAGCAGCCAGUUCUGUCUCUAUUCUGGGCAGUUCUACAACCCAGGAACACAGCUGACUGCUAUCCUGGGCUGACUGGAGACAGUUCUAGAACAGUGGGCAGAGCUGGCCAGUUCUAGAUUGAUUGAGGGAAUUCCAGAACCAAGAAGCAGGGGUCCACUGUGGUUCUAGAAUGUUGUGGAGGUUUAGAAGUAGGAGUGGGGGGUGGGGCACGAUGGCUCACGCGUGUCAUCCCAGCACUUUAGGAGGCCAAGGCGGGAGGAUCACUUGAGGUCAGGAGUUUGAGACCAGCCUGGCCAACAUGGCGAAACCCCAUCUCUACUAAAAAUACAAAAACUAGCCAGGCAUGGUGGUGGGUGCCUGUAAUCCCAGCUACUCAUGAGACUGAGGCAGGAGAAUCAUUUGAACCCGGGAAGCGGAGGUUGCAGUGAGCUGAGAUCAUACCACCGAGCUCCAGCCUGGGCGACAGAGCGAGACCAUGUCAAAAAAAAAAAACAGGAGUGGGACUGUCUGGUUCUGGCCUGAUCAUGGAAUUCUGGGGACACGGGGUGAAGGUAUCUGUGGGUGCUAGAUCUGGCUUUGCAUCCAGCCAUGGCCUGGACUCACUGGCUUUUCCCGCCUGUGAGUCCUUGAGAGAUGGACAGAAGGUUCUAGACCUGUGAGGGCCGGGCUGCUUGGAUGGUUCUAGAACAGUGGGCUGUGCUUCCUGGCUGGAGAGUGCUAAGCCACCAGCUAGAACACUGUGUCUCCCGGCCAUCUCGGAGAGCGCAGCCCUGGGGCAGAGCCUGUGGGAGUGGGCCCCUGAGGGCCAACCCUCUCCGCUGUCGCCCUCAGUGCCUGGUCCCUGUGACCAUGAAGACCUCCUGGACGGUGUCAUAUUUGGGGCCAGGUACCUGGGGUCCACCCAGCUGGUGUCGGAACGGAACCCGCCCACCAGCACGCGCAUGGCCCAGGCCCGGGAGGCCAUGGACCGUGUCAAGGUGAGGGGGCAGCCGGGGGCGGGCGGGCAGGCGGGUGGGCUGCAGGCUGGGUCUGUAGGGGCCUCCACCUCCCACGCCGCCACCCACAGGCCCCCGAUGGGGAGACCCAGCCCAUGACGGAGGUGGACCUGUUCGUCUCCACCAAGAGGAUCAAGGUCUUGACAGCGGACUCCCAGGUACGGGGCAGGGACCCGCCCCAGGGAUGCGGGCGGGGUGAUCGAGCGUGGCACGGCCCCCCAGCCCACCCAGGCUGCCUCUCCCGCCCCCAGGAGGCCAUGAUGGACCACGCCCUGCAUACCAUCUCCUACAUAGCCGACAUCGGCCGCGUGCUGGUGCUGAUGGCGCGGCGGCGGCUGGCGCGGAGGCCGGCACCCCAGGACCACGGCCGCCGCCUCUACAAGAUGCUCUGCCAUGUGUUCUACGCGGAGGACGUGAGCAGCCAGGGCGCGGGGCCGCCCUCCUGAGGCCCUCCUCACUGCAACUGUCGCCUCCCUCACUGGGCCGUGCAUUUAACCUCCCUCCCAUAAGCUUACUUUUUAGUUCUUUUUUUUUUUGGGGACAAGGUCUCCUUCUGUCACCCAGGCUGGAGUGCAGUGGCGCAAUCAUAGUUACUGCAGCCUCAACCUUCCAGGCUCAAGCGAUCCUCCCACUUCAGCCUCCCUAGUAGCUGGGACCGCGGGGGUAUCACCAUGCCUGGCUAAUUUUUGUAUUUUUUAUAGAGACAGGGUCUCGCUCUGUCGCCCAGGUGAACAUGGUCUCAAACUCCUGGGCUCAAGCGAUCCACCCACCGCAACCUCCCAAAGUGCUGCGAUUACAGGCGUGAGCCACCAUGUCCAGCCUCCCAUAAGCCUCCAAGACUCUCGGCCGACUCCCCGAAACCUUGCCCACUCCUGGGCUGUCCCUGCCACCCAUCAGGCCCACUGCCUCCCUCAUCGUCCCCCCGGCCCAGGGCUGCCCCUCCCCUUCCUUCUCCCCGUAGAUUCCCCAAGAUACGGCUGUCUCUCCACCUCCCCCAAAGCCCCAGGGCAGGAGGCUGUGUCCUGGGACUCUCACCCAGGAGGGCUCAGCUCUGAGGACCCUGGGGACUUUGGGGACCUGAAGGAGGUGGGUGGGACACCCCAGGGACGCGCCGCCCCUCCCCGCAGGCCCAGCUCAUUGCCCAGGCCAUCGGCCAGGCCUUCGCUGCCGCCUACAGCCAGUUCCUACGGGAAAGCGGUAUUGACCCCAGCCAGGUGGGCGCGCACCCGAGCCCAGGCGCCGGCCACCUCCACAACGGGGACCUGGACCACUUCUCCAACAGUGACAACUGCCGAGAGGUGCACCUCGAGAAGCAGCGAGGGGAGGGCCUGGGCGUGGCCCUGGUGGAGUCGGGCUGGGGCUCCCUGCUGCCCACAGCCGUCAUCGCCAACCUGCUGCAUGGGGGGCCUGCCGAGCGCUCGGGGGCCCUCAGCAUCGGGGACCGCCUGACUGCCAUCAACGGGACCAGCCUGGUGGGGCUGCCUCUGGCUGCAUGCCAGGCUGCUGUCCGCGAGACGAAGUCGCAGACGUCGGUGAUACUCAGCAUCGUCCACUGCCCACCCGUCACCACCGCCAUCAUCCACCGGCCCCAUGCCCGCGAGCAGCUGGGCUUCUGCGUGGAGGAUGGCAUCGUGAGGCCCCGGCCCCUGGCCCGGGGUGGGGGGUAGGGCAGCCCUGAGCAUGGCCCCUGAGCAGCCCCCACCUCUUUCCCGUCCCCUUCUUUUUUCCCCCAGAUCUGCAGCCUCCUCCGUGGCGGCAUCGCCGAGCGUGGGGGCAUCCGCGUCGGCCACCGCAUCAUUGAGAUCAAUGGGCAGAGUGUGGUGGCCACGCCACAUGCCCGCAUCAUCGAGCUGCUCACCGAGGCCUACGGCGAGGUGCAUAUCAAGACGAUGCCAGCUGCCACAUACCGCCUCCUUACAGGCCAGGAGCAGCCCGUGUACCUGUGACCACCUCGUCCCUUGCCUGCCACCGUGCCUUCGCCUCCAUGGCCCCGGAGCCCCAUCCUGGGCCUGCCCUGGCUGGCCAGGACCCCAGUGGUUCUUGGUCCUGUAUGAUUUCCUAAUAUAAAAACAGUAAAAGCUUAUGCAGUUGGC
RNAcentral lists this small RNA (4138 nucleotides) under Pongo abelii (Sumatran orangutan). Its description in RNAcentral is "retained intron". The record is from RNAcentral. Lineage: Eukaryota; Metazoa; Chordata; Mammalia; Primates; Hominidae.